GACGAACGCUGGCGGCGUGCUUAACACAUGCAAGUCGAACGGAAAGGCCUGCUUUCCCUUGUGGCUUGCGGGUACUCGAGUGGCGAACGGGUGAGUAACACGUGAGUGAUCUGCCCCCAACUUGUGUAUAAGCCUGGGAAACUGGGUCUAAUUCCCGAUAGGACUGCAGUGUGGUGGCGGUGGUUGAAAACGAUUGUCUAGUGGUUGGGGAUGAGCGCGCGGCUUAUCAGCUUGUUGGUGGGGUAAUGGGCUACCACGGCGGCUAUGGGUAGCCGGCGUGGGAGGGUGGACGGCCGCAUUGGGGCAGAGUUACGGCCACGGCGACUACGAGACGCAGCAGAGGGGAAUGUGGGGCAAUGGGCGGGAGCAUGAGGCAGCGAGGGCGCGUGGGGGCUGGCGGCGUUGGGGUUGUGAACUCCGUUCGAGCGCGGGAAAGCCACUUGGCUGGGAAGGUGAUGAAGGUAGUGGUAGAAGUAGCCCCGGCUAACUACGUG
This 494-nucleotide ribosomal RNA is filed under the name uncultured bacterium. Its description in RNAcentral is "partial 16S ribosomal RNA". It matches the Rfam family "Bacterial small subunit ribosomal RNA", at positions 28 to 507 of the family's 1533-position model. The record is from RNAcentral.